This 420-nucleotide long non-coding RNA is filed under the name Sorghum bicolor (sorghum). Its description in RNAcentral is "long non-coding RNA (SBIC_LNC006076)". The record is from RNAcentral. Lineage: Eukaryota; Viridiplantae; Streptophyta; Magnoliopsida; Poales; Poaceae.
ACUAAUAGGUAACAACAUAUGGUAAAUAACAUUGACAACUUAACAACUGCUCUUUGCCAUCGAGGGAGUCUUGCUGUCGCUUGCGGAGCAUGAGCAGAUAUCUGUUCCCUCACCAUUUAUACAAAUCGAAAGUUCCCAGAGCUUCUUGGUGAGAUCCCUUCAAGUUUAUAAUUCACAGUGCAAAAAGUUGCAGGCAAAGGUACGGAAGGAAUUAGGCUUUUGCAGCCGCUUGCUUCGCACCAACUGCAAAGAACUCAGUGAUGACUUCAAGGGGCAUUCCCUUUGUCUCAGGAACCUUAAGGAAGACAAACACAAAGGCAAUCAAGCAUACGACUGCAUAUAUGCCAAAAACACCUGCUAGUCCAAUAGCAUUCAGCAUUACAGGAAGGCUGUAGGUGACAAUGAUGUCUCCAAUCCAAA